UGGGGAAUUUUGGACAAUGGGGGGAAACCCUGAUCCAGCCAUCCCGCGUGUGCGAUGAAGGCCUUCGGGUUGUAAAGCACUUUUGGCAGGAAAGAAACGUCGCGGGUUAAUACCCCGCGAAACUGACGGUACCUGCAGAAUAAGCACCGGCUAACUACGUGCCAGCAGCCGCGGUAAUACGUAGGGUGCAAGCGUUAAUCGGAAUUACUGGGCGUAAAGCGUGCGCAGGCGGUUCGGAAAGAAAGAUGUGAAAUCCCAGAGCUUAACUUUGGAACUGCAUUUUUAACUACCGGGCUAGAGUGUGUCAGAGGGAGGUGGAAUUCCGCGUGUAGCAGUGAAAUGCGUAGAUAUGCGGAGGAACACCGAUGGCGAAGGCAGCCUCCUGGGAUAACACUGACGCUCAUGCACGAAAGCGUGGGGAGCAAACAGGAUUAGAUACCCUGGUAGUCCACGCCCUAAACGAUGUCAACUAGCUGUUGGGGGCCUUCGGGCCUUGGUAGCGCAGCUAACGCGUGAAGUUGACCGCCUGGGGAGUACGGUCGCAAGAUUAAAAACUU
RNAcentral lists this ribosomal RNA (557 nucleotides) under uncultured bacterium. Its description in RNAcentral is "partial 16S ribosomal RNA". It matches the Rfam family "Bacterial small subunit ribosomal RNA", at positions 355 to 902 of the family's 1533-position model. The record is from RNAcentral.